AGUGUUGUGGCUCAGUGGUAGAGCACUCACCUAGCAUGUGUGAGGCCCUGGGUUCAAUCCUCAGCACCACAU
This 72-nucleotide transfer RNA is filed under the name Marmota monax (woodchuck). It matches the Rfam family "tRNA". Rfam says of the family: Transfer RNA (tRNA) molecules are approximately 80 nucleotides in length. Their secondary structure includes four short double-helical elements and three loops (D, anti-codon, and T loops). The record is from Rfam by way of RNAcentral. Lineage: Eukaryota; Metazoa; Chordata; Mammalia; Rodentia; Sciuridae.